RNAcentral lists this unclassified non-coding RNA (790 nucleotides) under Hevea brasiliensis (rubber tree). The record is from RNAcentral. Lineage: Eukaryota; Viridiplantae; Streptophyta; Magnoliopsida; Malpighiales; Euphorbiaceae.
GGCUAAUCUACCAUUAACAGAGACUUCUUCAUCAUAAUCUUCCUCCUCCUCAUCUAAUCUUGUGCCGAGCUUUGCAAGCUGCAGAGGGUCGAUGGCCAUCUUGUCCAUUUCAGAAAGCGACCAACCUGGAUAUUCUUCUUGAUUAGUUUCAGCAGUAGGCACUGCAGAUGAGUUGUCAACCACUGUUGCUGCUGCUGCAGGUGCUGCUGCUGUUGUUGCAGCAGCUGUAGCCUUUGUGUCCUCGUUCUCAUUCACGUCAGCAUUCAGAUCAAAGUUUCUUUCCGAUGCAGUGGCACCAUCACCGACUAUCAUAUCUUCCUCCAACAAUUCCUUUUGUUCAGAACCAUUAUCUACCACCAUUCCAGGAUUUGAGUUAUUUUUUACGUUCUGCUGAAGAGUUGUACCGGGCUCAGAUUCAAUCUCACGAUGAGAAGACUCUCGUUCCAUGUUUCGAACACCUCGUCCUCGGCCCCUUCCUCGACCACGCCCUCUCCCUCGGCCACUGCUGCCUGCAUGGUUCAUCUCAUGCAUCCUGCUUCUCUUCAACUCUUCAUCACUGUCAUUGCAUUCAUCCCCAAUGGGCUUCCUCUUUUGAAGGGUUCUGUGAUCUGCAGUGUUAUCAGAAUGACCAUGACCAUAGUCAGGAACCCUGCUGACAAUUUCCCUUAAAAAAUCGAAAACAUUGUAGCUCUGUACGCAGUGUUUUAAAUGCAAUGCACUCAUAGUUUUUGCACCUCGCUGCAGUGUGAUUUUGUAUGUAUGGUCACAAAGGUCUUGCAAAAACAAUUCC